AUGCACGCUGGCGGCGUGCCUAAUACAUGCAAGUCGAGCGAACAGACGAGGAGCUUGCUCCUCUGACGUUAGCGGCGGACGGGUGAGUAACACGUGGAUAACCUACCUAUAAGACUGGGAUAACUUCGGGAAACCGGAGCUAAUACCGGAUAAUAUAUUGAACCGCAUGGUUCAAUAGUGAAAGACGGUUUUGCUGUCACUUAUAGAUGGAUCCGCGCCGCAUUAGCUAGUUGGUAAGGUAACGGCUUACCAAGGCAACGAUGCGUAGCCGACCUGAGAGGGUGAUCGGCCACACUGGAACUGAGACACGGUCCAGACUCCUACGGGAGGCAGCAGCAGGGAAUCUUCCGCAAUGGGCGAAAGCCUGACGGAGCAACGCCGCGUGAGUGAUGAAGGUCUUCGGAUCGUAAAACUCUGUUAUUAGGGAAGAACAAAUGUGUAAGUAACUAUGCACGUCUUGACGGUACCUAAUCAGAAAGCCACGGCUAACUACGUG
RNAcentral lists this ribosomal RNA (496 nucleotides) under uncultured bacterium. Its description in RNAcentral is "partial 16S ribosomal RNA". It matches the Rfam family "Bacterial small subunit ribosomal RNA", at positions 29 to 507 of the family's 1533-position model. The record is from RNAcentral.